UUCUCCUGUUAGAUUAAAAAGUACUAUGUGAUUUUGUCUUACUGUUUUGUUGUUCGUCUUGGGUGGUUGAAGUUCUUCUAAAUUUCUGCCGGCUUUGUGUCUCCAUGCGAAUUUGGGAUCUGGGUUUUCUUCACCGUCACUUUCUUCUCUAGGUCUUCUAUUUGUUUGUAAGUCAUAGUCCAUUAUUUUAAAGAUUCCAGGGUUUUCUCCUGGAUCUGGGUUUAAAGCUGUCCAUUUUAAGUUCAUAAACUUCACUUCAAGUGAGUUCAAGAUUUUUUUCGUGUUCAUGCUAUGGUGGUCGCCAAUGUGCCUCCUGAAAACUCAUCAAGGAAUCUAUGUCUUCAGUACUUAUCAUGAAUAGAAAAUGGCAAGAUUAAAGUGGGUGGUUCCCAGAGACCUGCUUCCUUGAGUGUCCUAGCAGCAUGUUAAUGGAGUGGCCACAUGGCAGGACCAGAAGAAAAAUGAUCCAGAGAGACCUGAUAAAUUCUAGUCUCCCAUAAGUACAAAAGAAGAGCAACAGUGAAUUAAAAAAAAAAAAGGUCAUGAAACUUGGUAAAUAAGGAAUAUACUGAUUCUGCAAUAGGAUAUGGCUCAGCUGGGAGAACUCAAGAACUUGGGGAUGAAGAGCAUCUCCAAGAAACUGAAGGCCGUGGAAGUGAAGGAUUGACUUGCUGACAUUUCCAUGACAUGAAUAAAAAGAAAACAUGAUCUAUUUAAAAAUUUUUGUCAACAUACUAAUCCUUCCAUUUGUAAGGUGCAGUAACUUCUAUAUUUGUAUGAUGUUUAUUAACUUUUUAAUUAGGGGAGCUAUAAUAGCUUGUUAUUGUGUUCUCAAAAUAAUUUAUUCACAAUUAGCAAAUAAUAGAAGUAAGCAGUAGAGUUUAAGUUUAAGCACAAUAGAGUAAGGAAUAAAGCUAGGUAAAUUUAUAUACGCUCAUAGAGAGUGCUUCUAAAUUUAAAACUGACAUUCUCUACCUUUCCCAAGCAAGGACAUUGGGAGCAAGAAAAUAAGUAUUGUCUGUAGAUGGUGAAAGUAGCAAAUGAAAGGAGGGGAAUAGCAAAAGUGGACGAUUGAAACAUGAAAAACACAAUAAAACUCGUCGCAAACGCAUAAAACCACAGAAGUAAUUGUAGCACUGGUUAUCAUGCACUCCUCUACAUAAAAUAGUUAUUUGAAAAUCAAUUCAAACCAGUUAAUGAUCUGCCAGUGAUACCCUAGAAUGGUUGGCAUGGUGAAGUAAAAGUUAGAAAAUGGGACAUGUUGGUACAACCUGAUUUCCAAAAGCAGGAAAUAUGAUAGUGACUUGUGUACUUUAUUAAUUUUUGAUAUAGGCCUUUGUAUUUUAUUACCAAGAUUAAAGCUAGUAAGAUAUUCUUAUUCAAAGGCAAGUUGGCUACAGAGGAUUACAAUUUUUGUUAUUCCAGAUGUACGUGAGAUCACACACUCACACUUAAUAUGCACCUGCACCCUCACACAAUAGUCUUAAAGAGUAUUCAAAAGGUCAUAAGGUGCUAUGAAACCAAAAAUGCUGAAUCAUUCACCUAUUCUGCUUUUCCGAAAGUUUCUGAGAAGUACAGUGUGAAUUAUAGGCCUUUAGGAUUGAUGCCUAAUCUUUGUUUUGUAUGAAUUGCUGUCUGGAAGAAAAGUACAUGAGAUAUUAUAUUUUUAUU
Molecule: long non-coding RNA, 1671 nt
Filed under: Penaeus monodon (black tiger shrimp)
Lineage: Eukaryota; Metazoa; Arthropoda; Malacostraca; Decapoda; Penaeidae
Description: uncharacterized LOC119581985
Source: RNAcentral